This 486-nucleotide ribosomal RNA is filed under the name uncultured bacterium. Its description in RNAcentral is "bacterial SSU rRNA". It matches the Rfam family "Bacterial small subunit ribosomal RNA", at positions 21 to 507 of the family's 1533-position model. The record is from RNAcentral.
GGCUCAGAUUGAACGCUGGCGGCAGGCCUAACACAUGCAAGUCGAGCGAGAAAGCCUUCGGGUGAGUACAGCGGCGGACGGGUGAGUAACGCGUAGGAAUCUACCUGGUAGUGGGGGACAACAUGGGGAAACCCAUGCUAAUACCGCAUACGCCCUAUGGGGGAAAGCGGGGGACCUUCGGGCCUCGCGCUAUCAGAUGAGCCUGCGUAGGAUUAGCUUGUUGGUGAGGUAAAGGCUCACCAAGGCGACGAUCCUUAGCUGGUCUGAGAGGAUGAUCAGCCACACUGGAACUGAGACACGGUCCAGACUCCUACGGGAGGCAGCAGUGGGGAAUAUUGCGCAAUGGGCGAAAGCCUGACGCAGCCAUGCCGCGUGUGUGAAGAAGGCCUUCGGGUUGUAAAGCACUUUCAAUUGGGAAGAAAGGUUGGUAGUUAAUAACUGCCAGCUGUGACGUUACCUUUAGAAGAAGCACCGGCUAACUCCGUG